Molecule: transfer RNA, 73 nt
Filed under: Erinaceus europaeus (western European hedgehog)
Lineage: Eukaryota; Metazoa; Chordata; Mammalia; Eulipotyphla; Erinaceidae
Rfam family: tRNA
About the family: Transfer RNA (tRNA) molecules are approximately 80 nucleotides in length.
Source: Rfam by way of RNAcentral
UGGGACGUGGCUCAGUGGAUAAAGCACUUGACUCUCAAGUGUGAGGUCCUGAGUUCAAGCCUCAGCACCACAU